Molecule: ribosomal RNA, 481 nt
Filed under: uncultured bacterium
Lineage: Bacteria
Description: bacterial SSU rRNA
Rfam family: Bacterial small subunit ribosomal RNA
Source: RNAcentral
CUACGUGCCAGCAGCCGCGGUAAUACGGAAGGUCCAGGCGUUAUCCGGAUUUAUUGGGUUUAAAGGGAGCGUAGGCUGGAGAUUAAGUGUGUUGUGAAAUGUAGACGCUUAACGUCUGAAUUGCAGCGCAUACUGGUUUCCUUGAGUACGCACAACGUUGGCGGAAUUCGUCGUGUAGCGGUGAAAUGCUUAGAUAUGACGAAGAACUCCGAUUGCGAAGGCAGCUGACGGGAGCGCAACUGACGCUUAAGCUCGAAGGUGCGGGUAUCAAACAGGAUUAGAUACCCUGGUAGUCCGCACAGUAAACGAUGGAUGCCCGCUGUUGGUACCUGGUAUCAGCGGCUAAGCGAAAGCAUUAAGCAUCCCACCUGGGGAGUACGCCGGCAACGGUGAAACUCAAAGGAAUUGACGGGGGCCCGCACAAGCGGAGGAACAUGUGGUUUAAUUCGAUGAUACGCGAGGAACCUUACCCGGGCUUGAA